This is a small nucleolar RNA of Lycium barbarum (goji berry), 82 nucleotides long. RefSeq annotates it as small nucleolar RNA snoR128. The record is from RefSeq and is a predicted model, not a curated record. The transcript has a single exon. Lineage: Eukaryota; Viridiplantae; Streptophyta; Magnoliopsida; Solanales; Solanaceae.
CUGCUGUGAUGAGACUCAGAACUUUUGAAAGUUUGAUACCUUGAUGAAACUUACUGUUGACCCUGAGCAGUUACCUGAACAG